GCUGGAAGCUAUGUAGGACCAAAUUGUCUUGUGUUGAUAGUGCGCUGGGCAGAUUCCGGAGGAGCUUCUUGGGCAUCAUCUAAGUGUCCCUUGGGAAGGGGGAUCCCAGACUGAGAAAAAUACGUCCCUCAGAUUAGCCUCUAGGUGUUAGGUCUGGAGGAAACACAGGACAGAAGGCCAACGGAGGUACCUAUUAGCGUAUCAAAGUGGAUGCUCCUUCCCAGUGCCAGAGGAACAAGGAGACAAUAUGCCUCCAGGGUCUUGAUUGUCUGGCAUUUGGCCAGCUCCCCCACCCCCCCUUCACAUUUUGAAGCAGCUGCAUUGAUUACAGUCUAGUCCCUCUACUACUACUCCAGCCAUCUGCCAGGACUGGGGUCGCCAUUCCUGGAGGAUUAAGAAGAAAGCACGGAAGGCGGAGAGCCAGCAAAGUUUCUAGCACAUGGAAGGCCCUGGGGGCCGUGGCUACUCUUUACCUUUUUGGCUCAACUGAAUCAUUUCCA
Meriones unguiculatus (Mongolian gerbil) is the source of this 500-nucleotide long non-coding RNA. RefSeq lists it as uncharacterized. Lineage: Eukaryota; Metazoa; Chordata; Mammalia; Rodentia; Muridae. The transcript is spliced from 4 exons. The record is from RefSeq and is a predicted model, not a curated record.